UUACGUCGUACAUUCGACGUCAAAUUACGAAGAAUUAACGAGCAUUACGUUUAAAUCCCUAAAAUCCGAAACCCCAAACCCCAAAACCCCAUAUUCCUUAUCUUCUACUUCAUAUAUUCCAAACCCCAUCUUUAUUUUCAUUCCAAACCACAAUUCCCACAUUUACUUAUUUAUAAAACAAACUCCCACAAUUUCUUAUUCAUAAAACAAACUCCCACAUUACCUUAUUCAUAAAACAAACUCUCACAUUACCUUAUUCAUAAAACAAACAACACAAAAUCAAAUACAUCAAUCGGAUACAUCGACAUUCUCGUCAUCA
This 319-nucleotide long non-coding RNA is filed under the name Brassica rapa (field mustard). Its description in RNAcentral is "long non-coding RNA (BRAP_LNC001241)". Lineage: Eukaryota; Viridiplantae; Streptophyta; Magnoliopsida; Brassicales; Brassicaceae. The record is from RNAcentral.